Molecule: small nucleolar RNA, 75 nt
Organism: Rana temporaria (common frog)
Lineage: Eukaryota; Metazoa; Chordata; Amphibia; Anura; Ranidae
Product: small nucleolar RNA snR60/Z15/Z230/Z193/J17
Exons: 1
Source: RefSeq, a predicted model, not a curated record
UUAUUGUAUAUGAUGACACCAUAGUUCAGCUGAUUGCUAUGAAGAACAAUCUUUCGCUCCUAUCUGAUACAUUCU